AUCAGUUCUCAGCCUAGUAACUAAGAUCACCUGUAGUAUCUGUUUGUCUCAGUUUAAUAUCUCAUGCGUCCCCUAUCUGGCGACCAUAUAUAUAUAUAUAACGGAUUUUUAGAACAGGGAGAGUGAAAAAAAGCUUGCUGUGUCCACUCCACGUGUUGACCUACUCUACUGUGGAUUGCCUUU
This is a small nuclear RNA of Bufo bufo (common toad), 183 nucleotides long. RefSeq annotates it as U2 spliceosomal RNA. The record is from RefSeq and is a predicted model, not a curated record. NCBI's taxonomy places the organism in Eukaryota, Metazoa, Chordata, Amphibia, Anura, Bufonidae. The transcript has a single exon.